CGCGACCCCAAGGUCAGGCGGGACUACCCGCUGAGUUUAA
This 40-nucleotide ribosomal RNA is filed under the name Brachyglottis arborescens. RNAcentral describes it as "partial 28S ribosomal RNA". Lineage: Eukaryota; Viridiplantae; Streptophyta; Magnoliopsida; Asterales; Asteraceae. The record is from RNAcentral. RNAcentral also lists the same sequence under 1 other name.